Molecule: ribosomal RNA, 465 nt
Filed under: uncultured bacterium
Lineage: Bacteria
Description: bacterial SSU rRNA
Rfam family: Bacterial small subunit ribosomal RNA
Source: RNAcentral
GACGAACGCUGGCGGCAUGCCUAAUACAUGCAAGUCGAGCGAACAGAUGAAGUGCUUGCACUUCUGACGUUAGCGGCGAACGGGUGAGUAACACGUAAGGAAUCUACCUAUAAGCGGGGGAUAACAUUCGGAAACGGGUGCUAAUACCGCAUAAUAUCUUCUUCCGCAUGGAAGAAGAUUGAAAGACGGCUCUGCUGUCACUUAUAGAUGACCUUGCGGUGCAUUAGUUAGUUGGUGGGGUAACGGCCUACCAAGACGAUGAUGCAUAGCCGACCUGAGAGGGUGAUCGGCCACAUUGGGACUGAGACACGGCCCAAACUCCUACGGGAGGCAGCAGUAGGGAAUCUUCCGCAAUGGGCGAAAGCCUGACGGAGCAAUGCCGCGUGAGUGAAGAAGGCCUUCGGGUCGUAAAACUCUGUUAUAAGAGAAGAACAAAUUGUAGAGUAACUGCUACAGUCUUGACGG